RNAcentral lists this ribosomal RNA (253 nucleotides) under uncultured bacterium. Its description in RNAcentral is "partial 16S ribosomal RNA". It matches the Rfam family "Bacterial small subunit ribosomal RNA", at positions 524 to 776 of the family's 1533-position model. The record is from RNAcentral.
UACAGAGGGGGCAAGCGUUGUUCGGAAUUACUGGGCGUAAAGGGCGCGUAGGCGGCCUUCUAAGUUGAACGUGAAAUCCCCGGGCUCAACCCGGGAACUGCGUCCAAGACUGGGAGGCUAGAAUCCGGGAGAGGGAUGCGGAAUUCCAGGUGUAGCGGUGAAAUGCGUAGAUAUCUGGAGGAACACCGGUGGCGAAGGCGGCAUCCUGGACCGAUACUGACACUGAGGAGCGAAAGCCAGGGGAGCAAACGGG